CUGGGAAGAGCCUUCUUGGUCACCGGAGGGAACAGCGGCAUUGGAAAAGCAGCCGCCAUGGAGAUAGCCAGGCGAGGUGGCACAGUUCAUCUGGUUUGUCAAGAUCAAAACUGAGCGGAAGAUGCCAGAGGUGAGAUCGUCAGGAAGAGCGGGAACCAGGUGAGCUGCUCUC
This 172-nucleotide long non-coding RNA is filed under the name Sus scrofa (pig). Its description in RNAcentral is "lncRNA (ENSSSCG00050011556.1)". The record is from RNAcentral. Lineage: Eukaryota; Metazoa; Chordata; Mammalia; Artiodactyla; Suidae.